Molecule: ribosomal RNA, 305 nt
Filed under: uncultured bacterium
Lineage: Bacteria
Description: bacterial SSU rRNA
Rfam family: Bacterial small subunit ribosomal RNA
Source: RNAcentral
UUGCCCUACGGGACGCAGCAGUGGGGAAUAUUGCACAAUGGGGGAAACCCUGAUGCAGCGACGCCGCGUGAGUGAAGAAGCGUUUCGGCGCGUAAAGCUCCGUCAGCGGGGAAGAAACAGGGUUCGCGAGAGCCGCGGACGGUACCCGACCAAGAAGCCCCGGCUAACUACGUGCCAGCAGCCGCGGUAAUACGUAGGGGGCAAGCGUUAUCCGGAUUCACUGGGUGUAAAGGGAGCGUAGACGGCGAGACAAGUCUGGAGUGAAAGGCCGGGGCCCAACCCCGGGACUGCUUUGGAAACUGUAC